This 507-nucleotide ribosomal RNA is filed under the name uncultured eukaryote. RNAcentral's name for it is "eukaryotic LSU rRNA". It matches the Rfam family "Eukaryotic large subunit ribosomal RNA", at positions 677 to 1173 of the family's 3401-position model. The record is from RNAcentral.
AACACAUAUGCGAGUUUGCGGGUGCAAAAACCCAUAAGCGCAAUGAAAGUGAGUAUAAGGUGUGAUACCUUCUAAAUUGGGGGUUGCAACAUCGACCGACCUUGAUCUUCUGUGAAGGGUUUGAGUAAGAGCAUAUUUGUUACGACCCGAAAGAUGGUGAACUAUACUUGAGCAGCCUGAAGCCUGAGGAAACUCAGGUGGAAGGGCGCAGCGGUACUGACGUGCAAAUCGUUCGUCAGACUUGAGUAUAGGGGCGAAAGACUAAUCGAACCAUCUAGUAGCUGGUUCCCUCUGAAAUUUCUCUCAGGAUAGCUGGAACAAUUUCAAGCAGUUUUAUCAGGUAAAGCGAAUGAUUAGAGGACUCGGAGCUCAAAGAGCUUUGACCUAUUCUCAAACUUUAAAUUGGUAAGAUCUAUUAGUUCUCUUAAUUGAACUGGUAGGCAGAAUGCAUUGUUCCAAGUGGGCUUAUCGUGGUAAGCAUGUUAAGCAAUGAGGGAUGAACCUAAC